This 794-nucleotide unclassified non-coding RNA is filed under the name Hevea brasiliensis (rubber tree). The record is from RNAcentral. Lineage: Eukaryota; Viridiplantae; Streptophyta; Magnoliopsida; Malpighiales; Euphorbiaceae.
UUCCUGCUUUGCACUAGAAUUGCAUCUUCUUUUUAUUAUGUAUCAUGUUUAGUUGUUUUGAAAAACAGGUUCAGUUGAAUAUUAGAAGUAAGGUGUUACUCUAUAAUACAACUGAUGCUUAUUACGAGUGCAACCUCAGACAAAAACCGUGUGGAAUUAGCUUCUUUCUGGACGGAGGAAAUGUUGCUCUUUUGACUUCUCCUCCUCAAAGGCCAGGUAUAGCUGCUGGUGUGUGGAGCGUCAAACUUUCCUAUGGACCUCGGUGGAUCACAUAUCUUCUUGGAGUAGGUGGGAUGAGUUUUCUCAUUUGGUUGGUAUUCAGGUACUUGAAUAAUAUGCAAUCCAUUCAUCAGGAAGGUAGUAGAGAUCCGGUGGGGCUGAUGGAAUCUGACCAGACCCCUCUUCUUUCACGCAAAGAUAAUGAUAUUGGAAGUUGGGGUUCUUCUUACGAUGGUCUUUCACAAAAUGAUGAGUAUAAUGAAGAUGUACUGGACCUCACUGCAGCUCAAGGGAGACAACUUAAAGAUGGUGAAUGCAACGACAAUAUUUGUCGACUCUGCGCAAUUUGUUUUGAUACGCCAAGGGACUGCUUCUUUCUUCCAUGUGGACACCAUGCAUCCUGUUUUGAAUGUGGAACUAGGAUAGCAGAAGUUGCUGGUACUUGCCCAAUUUGUCGCAGGCCUAUAAAGAAAGUGAAAAAGAUAUAUACAGUUUGAGUAGUCGAGAGUAGAUAAAAUGUAAAUCAUGGAUACACCGAGUUCUUCUUCCAAUUUAUUAUCCUUUGAGAAUUGAUG